RNAcentral lists this unclassified non-coding RNA (408 nucleotides) under soil metagenome. Its description in RNAcentral is "partial contains 5.8S ribosomal RNA, internal transcribed spacer 2, and large subunit ribosomal RNA". The stretch from base 1 to 120 matches the Rfam family "5.8S ribosomal RNA", at positions 35 to 154 of the family's 154-position model. The record is from RNAcentral.
GAUGAAGAACGUAGCGAAAUGCGAUAAGUAAUGUGAAUUGCAGAAUUCAGUGAAUCAUCGAAUCUUUGAACGCACCUUGCGCUCCUUGGCAUUCCGAGGAGCAUGCCUGUUUGAGUGUCAUUAAAUUCUCAAGACCUGUCUGCUUUUUUGAUAGGUAUUGGAUUUUGGGGGUUGCAGGCUGUUUCAAAUAAAUAGCCUUGCUCUCCUUGAAUGUAUUAGUGGAGAAAAGCCAUUGAACUCCUUUGGUGUGAUAAAACCUAUCAAUGCCAGGAGCAAUAUCACUACUUCUCUCUGCUGUCUAACUGUGACUGUCUGUAUUAAUUAGUAUGGAUGGGGACAACUUGACCAACUUGACCUCAAAUCAGGUAGGACUACCCGCUGAACUUAAGCAUAUCAAUAAGCGGAGGA